This 1211-nucleotide long non-coding RNA is filed under the name Androctonus crassicauda. The record is from RNAcentral. Lineage: Eukaryota; Metazoa; Arthropoda; Arachnida; Scorpiones; Buthidae.
CUUCUUUACAAUUGUGAACAUGUUUUAUCAUUUUGGCUUCAUUCCAAUUUGUAUCUGUCUAUCUUAUUAUUAUUUUGUAUCAAUUUAUAUCUAUCUUUUUGCAAGCACUGUAUUAAGAUUUCCUAUAUCUCUCAUAUCUUCUCAACCUUUGUUCAAGUAAUCUUCAAGUUUUCCCAUGUGUUUCUCUCUUUGACUUAAUUUUAUUUUGUGCUAGUACUGUAGUUUAUGGAUGCAUGCACACUUUCUUUUGUAUCCUAUCAUUUCUUAUUUCUAACUCUUUUAAUGAGAGAGAACAUCAUUGAUUGGUGUUUUAAGGUUCCAUCUAUUCUUGCCUUUUCUUUGCCAAAUUAACAAAGAUUGGGUCCUAGUACAACACCCAACUAUUAGUCAGGUGAUUUAAAAUUCUCAUAUUUAUUAUAAACAGCAUAACCAUUCUCUCCAAUUUUUUUAUGUUGCCUUGUAUAUAAAGCCAUAAAUAUAUCCAUGUUUAUGAUCUUACAUAAUGAUAUUAAAUUCUUCUUGUUUUGUUUCUAGCCUCCUGAAUAAUGCUCUAAAGCAGGGAUGGGCAAAAGCCGGCUCACUGCAUAAACUAGAACAUAUUACAAUUUCAAGGCCUACAUUCAUAAAAUUCUAAUCAAAAAGAAAAAAUAUAAUGGAUAUUCUGUACAAUGUACGUUUACAGUAGGAAAGAUAAAACAAUUAUACUUAAAGGGGGGAAAAAAAAUAAAAAAUGCUGUGCUGAACAGAAGGGAAAAAAAUUUUCCUCAGUGUUAGUUAUAUUACUGACUAAAAAGGUAAAAAAGGUGUACUGCCAACCACACUGCACAGUUAUAAUAUGGACUAAUACAUUGGAUGCACAACUCCACAAUUGUAGGACGGCUAACAAAAUUGUCUAAAUUUAUUAAUUCGUAGGACAAAUUAUUUUCUAAUGUUUUUAAUGAGAAAAAAAUAAUUUGUACAGAUACUUUUGAAUUCUUUACAUACAAACAAAAACUAAGAAAGUAAUGCAAGAAAAGUAUAUUUUAAAAAUAAUAUUGAUACACAAAUAUAUUCUUUGUAUAAAUAUCACAAAAGUGCAUAUUCACAUUAGCAAGAUUGACAAUGACAAGAAUGUAGGCAGAUAAAUUGGUACAACUAUUAUUAUUAUUACAUGUAAUGGUAAGAGGAAUAUGUUUGUGCAAGAAUUAAUCUUGCUUGAACCUGAAUAGUGA